GACGAACGCUGGCGGCGUGCCUAAUACAUGCCAGUCGAACGCUUCUUUCCUCCCGAGUGCUUGCACUCAAUUGGAAAGAGGAGUGGCGGACGGGUGAGUAACACGUGGGUAACCUACCCAUCAGAGGGGGAUAACACUUGGAAACAGGUGCUAAUACCGCAUAACAGUUUAUGCCGCAUGGCAUAAGAGUGAAAGGCGCUUUCGGGUGUCGCUGAUGGAUGGACCCGCGGUGCAUUAGCUAGUUGGUGAGGUAACGGCUCACCAAGGCCACGAUGCACAGCCGACCUGAGAGGGUGAUCGGCCACACUGGGACUGAGACACGGCCCAGACUCCUACGGGAGGCAGCAGUAGGGAAUCUUCGGCAAUGGACGAAAGUCUGACCGAGCAACGCCGCGUGAGUGAAGAAGGUUUUCGGAUCGUAAAACUCUGUUGUUAGAGAAGAACAAGGACGUUAGUAACUGAACGUCCCCUGACGGUAUCUAACCAGAAAGCCACGGCUAACUACGUG
RNAcentral lists this ribosomal RNA (508 nucleotides) under uncultured bacterium. RNAcentral's name for it is "partial 16S ribosomal RNA". It matches the Rfam family "Bacterial small subunit ribosomal RNA", at positions 28 to 507 of the family's 1533-position model. The record is from RNAcentral.